RNAcentral lists this ribosomal RNA (592 nucleotides) under Streptococcus mutans. RNAcentral's name for it is "bacterial SSU rRNA". It matches the Rfam family "Bacterial small subunit ribosomal RNA", at positions 374 to 957 of the family's 1533-position model. Lineage: Bacteria; Bacillati; Bacillota; Bacilli; Lactobacillales; Streptococcaceae. The record is from RNAcentral.
GACGAAAGUCUGACCGAGCAACGCCGCGUGAGUGAAGAAGGUUUUCGGAUCGUAAAGCUCUGUUGUAAGUCAAGAACGUGUGUGAGAGUGGAAAGUUCACACAGUGACGGUAGCUUACCAGAAAGGGACGGCUAACUACGUGCCAGCAGCCGCGGUAAUACGCAGGUCCCGAGCGUUGUCCGGAUUUAUUGGGCGUAAAGGGAGCGCAGGCGGUCAGGAAAGUCUGGAGUAAAAGGCUAUGGCUCAACCAUAGUGUGCUCUGGAAACUGUCUGACUUGAGUGCAGAAGGGGAGAGUGGAAUUCCAUGUGUAGCGGUGAAAUGCGUAGAUAUAUGGAGGAACACCAGUGGCGAAAGCGGCUCUCUGGUCUGUCACUGACGCUGAGGCUCGAAAGCGUGGGUAGCGAACAGGAUUAGAUACCCUGGUAGUCCACGCCGUAAACGAUGUGUGCUAGGUGUUAGGCCCUUUCCGGGGCUUAGUGCCGGAGCUAACGCAAUAAGCACUCCGCCUGGGGAGUACGACCGCAAGGUUGAAACUCAAAGGAAUUGACGGGGGCCCGCACAAGCGGUGGAGCAUGUGGUUUAAUUCGAAGC